Molecule: ribosomal RNA, 442 nt
Filed under: uncultured bacterium
Lineage: Bacteria
Description: partial 16S ribosomal RNA
Rfam family: Bacterial small subunit ribosomal RNA
Source: RNAcentral
CCUACGGGCGGCAGCAGUGGGGAAUAUUGGGCAAUGGGCGCAAGCCUGACCCAGCAACGCCGCGUGAAGGAAGAAGGCUUUCGGGUUGUAAACUUCUUUCAUGGGGGAAGAGCAGAAGACGGUACCUAUUGAAUAAGCCACGGCUCACUACGUGCCAGCAGCCGCGGUAAUACGGAGGUGGCAAGCGUUGUCCGGAUUUACUGGGUGUAAAGGGCGUGCAGCGGGGAAGACAAGUCAGAUGUGAAAUCCCGCGGCUCAACCGCGGAACUGCGUUUAAAACUGUUUUUCUUGAGUACCGGAGAGGUCAUCGGAAUUCCUUGUGUAGCGGUGAAAUGCGUAGAUAUAAGGAGGAACACCAGUGGCGAAGGCGGAUGACUGGGCUGCAACUGACGGUGAGGCGCGAAAGCGUGGGGAGCAAACAGGAUUAGAUACCCCGGUAGUC